CAGUCGCCGCGGGAAUACGUAGGGUGCAAGCGUUAAUCGGAAUUACUGGGCGUAAAGCGUGCGCAGGCGGUUUGUUAAGACAGAUGUGAAAUCCCCGGGCUCAACCUGGGAACUGCAUUUGUGACUGGCAAGCUAGAGUGUGGCAGAGGGGGGUGGAAUUCCGCGUGUAGCAGUGAAAUGCGUAGAUAUGCGGAGGAACACCGAUGGCGAAGGCAGCCCCCUGGGCCAACACCGACGCUCAUGCACGAAAGCGUGGGGAGCAAACAGGAUUAGAUACCCCUGUAGUCCCUGUCUCUUAUAC
This 301-nucleotide ribosomal RNA is filed under the name uncultured bacterium. Its description in RNAcentral is "partial 16S ribosomal RNA". It matches the Rfam family "Bacterial small subunit ribosomal RNA", at positions 509 to 807 of the family's 1533-position model. The record is from RNAcentral.